RNAcentral lists this ribosomal RNA (237 nucleotides) under uncultured bacterium. Its description in RNAcentral is "partial 16S ribosomal RNA". It matches the Rfam family "Bacterial small subunit ribosomal RNA", at positions 15 to 249 of the family's 1533-position model. The record is from RNAcentral.
GAUCCUGGCUCAGGAUGAACGCUGGCGGCGCGCCUAACACAUGCAAGUCGAACGGACGAUGGAAAGCUUGCUUUUCAAAGUUAGUGGCGGACGGGUGAGUAACGCGUGGGUAACCUGCCUCAUACAGGGGAAUAGCAGCUGGAAACGGCUGAUAAAACCGCAUAAGCGCACAGUGCCGCAUGGCACAGUGUGAAAAACUCCGGUGGUAUGAGAUGGACCCGCGUCUGAUUAGCUGGG